Molecule: long non-coding RNA, 600 nt
Filed under: Phasianus colchicus (ring-necked pheasant)
Lineage: Eukaryota; Metazoa; Chordata; Aves; Galliformes; Phasianidae
Description: lncRNA (ENSPCLG00000002054.1)
Source: RNAcentral
CGUGGGAGAAUACUUCAAGAUGACACGCUAUUUAACAAAAGACAACAAACAACAAACCUCCAACUUCAGAUACUGCAGAAAACCAUCAUCCUGUGACCAAGAACUGCAGAAUGCCUGAGUCUUAAAAGAAAAUCCUUCAAUUUCCUUGCUGAAUCAUCUUCAGCUAUCUUGCCCCUCCAGAGCUCUCCAGAAUUUGUGGCACCUAGAGGUUGCACUGAAAAGCAUUGCAUCUUUCUGACUCCCAGGGAAGCCACGCAACUUCAGAGAGAGGUAAUAAGCAAGCUGCAGAAUCUGAGAGUGAGAGCAAGCUGGACGGACACCAAAAUAGAUAUAUUUAAUAUUAUUCUUCACGUGUAAUAAAACUGCCUUUGCUGGAAGCCUCACCAACUCUUUGCCAUCUUUCUGACCUAAGUUUUCAUAUAAUUGAGACACACGAAGAUCCAAACUGAGAAAGUAUUCAGGUUUGACCCCAUAAUUGAUAGGUAUUUGCAGUGGUAGAGCACUAUGAAAUGACACAAGUGUGAAAAUCAUUUCAAUGACUGAGGUAGAUUGAAAAAAAAAAUGCAUUGGGAAAUAAAUAUGUACGUGUAGGGCUUAUCA